GUGUGAUGAUCAGAGCAAACCGCUCUGAAAUUCACAAAUUCCAGCUGUUCUGUCUGUUCCCUGAUCCCAUUUGCUACACCUGAGUCCCCCCCUGCUGCGACCUCGGCCAGCAGAUGCUGUGCUGAGUGUCCUUUCUGCGUUCACUGUUGUCACUCACAACAGUAUAACACUUCCUGGAUCUGAGCGUUAUAAGGAGACAUUUUCCAACACUCCUUGAUAUCUCAUUCACUUCAGCUUGUUUUCCUUCCGACUUCCCUGCACCCACCGACAAGACUGUUUCUGGUGGAGUAAUAAUUACUCCGCACUCAGUUCACACUCCACAGGCUCCAGAAUGUUCCAUCUCCUGGAUGGAGCAUCAUCGUUUUAUCUUAGGACUUCCUGUAUUUCCUGUAAAUUGUGUUUUUAUUGUGAAAACAGAUUUCCAUGUCACAUGUCUGAUGUAGUCCUGCUGCUAUGCUUGUAUGAUGUGCAUUUUACUUCUUUGGGUCUCCAUGGUAUGAAUAUGCUGUUUCACACACACCUUCUCGGGGUUCUGGCUGUCCCACAGGUGUUGUGUAGGUUUGUGGUCACUGUUCUUGCCUGUCUCAUCCUUUCAGGUAACUGGUGUGGUAUUUCUUACUUAGCCUUCCUUAUUCCUUAUGCACGUGUGGCCUCUAAUUUAACUAUUGCUCUAUUCCUGCAGGCAUCACUCUGGCCUCCAUAAGAGGGAGAGAUCAGCUCCAUGGUCUAAGUUUCUAGGUGGUAUAAUCACUGUUAUGGUACUGGUCGUAAUGCUUUUCACAUGGAUCAGUUGGCUAUUGAACUUGAGAAUCUCUCUGUACCAGUUUCAUCUGGUUUUGAGUCCCUGACCCCUGAGCUUAAGGCUCUAUGUGUUGUACCUGGAGAAUGGGAUGGCUCUGGAUUCCUCCUGGCUGACCUGGGUGGAGCCUGUCAGGUAAUAGGUUCUGAGUGUUGUAUUUGUUUUCCUGAUGCUUCUAACUACAUUUCAGCUAUUGUACAUUAUUUACGGGACCUCAUACAGAUGAUGACUUGUACUUAUGAUGAUACUGGUUUACUGGUUUUAACAUUGAUAAUAAUGAUUUCUGAACCUCAGUGUAACGUUAUGGUGUGUCAGUGUAUAUUUUCUAAACUUUUGCUUUUACUACAACCUAGGGGUGUCUAUCCUCAUGUGUCAAUUUAGA
Long non-coding RNA from Melanotaenia boesemani (Boeseman's rainbowfish), 1181 nucleotides. RefSeq lists it as uncharacterized. The transcript is spliced from 3 exons. NCBI's taxonomy places the organism in Eukaryota, Metazoa, Chordata, Actinopteri, Atheriniformes, Melanotaeniidae. The record is from RefSeq and is a predicted model, not a curated record.